RNAcentral lists this ribosomal RNA (325 nucleotides) under uncultured eukaryote. Its description in RNAcentral is "partial 18S ribosomal RNA". It matches the Rfam family "Eukaryotic small subunit ribosomal RNA", at positions 1470 to 1796 of the family's 1831-position model. The record is from RNAcentral.
CCCUUAGAUGUCCUGGGCCGCACGCGCGCUACACUGAUGCGUUCAACGAGCUUGCCUUGGUCGAGAGGCACAGGUAAUCUUUUGAAUGCGCAUCGUGAUAGGGAUAGAUCAUUGCAAUUAUUGAUCUUGAACGAGGAAUUCCUAGUAAACGCGAGUCAUCAGCUCGCAUUGAUUACGUCCCUGCCCUUUGUACACACCGCCCGUCGCACCUACCGAUUGAACGAUUCGGUGAAAACUCUGGAUCGUGACUCGCGUCCUUUAUUGGGCGUGGCGUCGUGAGAAAUUGUGUAAACCUCAUCGUUUAGAGGAAGGUGAAGUCGUANCA